Acanthosepion pharaonis is the source of this 113-nucleotide non-coding RNA. The record is from the annotation of a GenBank genome assembly. NCBI's taxonomy places the organism in Eukaryota, Metazoa, Mollusca, Cephalopoda, Sepiida, Sepiidae.
UUACGGCCAUAUCAUGUUGAAACAUUGACUCUCGUAUGAUCACCGAAGUUAAGCAACGUCGAGCCUAGUCAAUACAUAGAUGGGUGACCGCUUGAAAUACUAGGUGCUGUCAG